AAUUAAUGAGCUUGUAUAUAAGCAUUUGUUUUGAAAACAUAAGAAAGAAAUUUAAAUUCUAUUAAUUU
RNAcentral lists this transfer RNA (68 nucleotides) under Pheosiopsis cinerea. Its description in RNAcentral is "tRNA-Ser". Lineage: Eukaryota; Metazoa; Arthropoda; Insecta; Lepidoptera; Notodontidae. The record is from RNAcentral.